This 4915-nucleotide long non-coding RNA is filed under the name Malus domestica (apple). RNAcentral's name for it is "long non-coding RNA (MDOM_LNC012617)". The record is from RNAcentral. Lineage: Eukaryota; Viridiplantae; Streptophyta; Magnoliopsida; Rosales; Rosaceae.
CCCCUUCCUUUAUUACAUAAUUACAUUUAAGUCCCUUAAGUAUUUAUACGAGGUCUAAAUACGAGGCCCUAAAUAUGGUAUAAACAGUAGUCCCCCAAGUCUUCAGUCAAGAGAGUCUUUUGGCUGGAGACUUGAAAUUCAGUUCAUGUGUGGGCCGAAGUAACUAGAUGUUGUCUUGAACUGAUGUUCGAUAUGAGGCAGUGCUCAAUCUAAAAUGACGCUCAACUAGAAGUAGCAUACGCUGCGAGGCUGCUCGGCUCGUGGCUUAUGUUGCCUUGGUUAGCUCGGCUUGCGGCGUUUGAAAGUGAGGGAGUCCCUUUUAUAGAAUAAGGGCUCACUCCUCAAUACAUGGAUGAUGGGUUAGAGUUGAUGCUCUCUAAUAGUGGUGAGGGAGUCCCUUUUAUAGAAUAAGGGUUCGCUCCUCAAUACAUAAGUGAGGGGUUAGAGUUGAUGCUCGCAGCGAGGCGGUUGCUCAGUAGGCGGCGAUGCUCUCUAAUGGUGAUGAGAGAGUCCCUUUUAUAGAAUAAGGGCUCGCUCCUCAAUACAUAAGUGAUGGGUUAGGAGUGAUGCUUGCGGCGAUGCGAUUGCUUAGUAGGCGGCGAUGUUCUCUAAUGGUGGUGAGGGAGUCCCUUUUAUAGAAUAAGGGCUCGCUCCUCAAUACAUAAAUCAUGGGUGAUUUUUUAAUGAAAGUGAGGGAGUCCCUUUUAUAGAAUAAGGGCUCGCUCCUCAAUACAUAAAUAAUGGGCUAGAGUCCCCCAAGUAUUUUUCAUAAGGCCCAAUUGAGGCCCAAUAUAUGGUACAUAAUGUAUUCCCCCAAGUCUUCGGUCAAUAGAGUCUGUUGGCUGGAGACUUCAAAUUGAAUCCAUGUAUGGGCCGAAGUGGCGGUUGUUCGGAGGCGGUAUUUGUAUACCCUGCACUGAAGCUUUGUAGGUGAAGCUUUGCAAGUGAAGCUUUGAAGCUAGAGCUCUGUAAAUGAAGCUUUCGAAGCUGGAGCUUUUGUAAAUAAAGCUUUUGAAGCUGAUUGACAUGAGUGAUGCUCAUGAAUGUUUAUGUUGAUUGACAUGAGUGAUACUCAUGGAUGUUGUCAUGAGUGAUGCUCAUGAAUGUUAACAUGAGUUAUGCUCAUGAAUGUUGACAUGAAUGAUGGUCACGAAUGUUUAUGCAUGAUUGUCAUGAGUGAUGCUCAUAAAUGUUUAUGUAUGAAUGACAUGAAUACUGCUCAUGUAUAAUUUAGAGUAUUGGGCGUACUUUUGAUCACCUAGUUGGUGGCAUGAAGGAAAGUAAGGGUUGUACAUUUCAUCACCUGGUUGGUGGCAUAAAUGGCUAGUUGCCAAAUUAGAGUACGGGUUGUACAUUUCAUCACCUGAUUGGUGGCUUAAAUGGCUAGUUGCCAAAUGAUAUUAGAGUACGGAUUGUACAUUUCAUCACCUGGUUGGUGGUAAUAGCGGCGGGUUGCCGAAUAAUUGUGGAGUACUUGGUGUACUUUUGAUGACCUGGUUAGUGCUAUUUCGGGCUUAUGGGUCUUCGCCCUCCACAACAUGCCAGCCCAUUUGUUUUGGGCUUUGCCGUUUUUUUUUUUUUUUUUAACCCUCUGAUGGGGUUUAUACAUAUUACCCUCUGAUGGGGUUUAUACAGAUGUCUCCGAAAGAUAAUAAAAAUAAAUUACAUCAUACAUUUGUUAAAAAUAAAUCCGACCCUCUGCUCAAUAGGUCAUGCCCAUAAUUCCCUUUUAUGCAUGCUAUCACCAUCGUAAUUAUGUCUGCUUUUGCUUUCCUCUUUUCUUUUCCUCUUUUCUUUUCUGCUUUGCUUUUGCUUUCUCAGAAAAUGGGAAACAUGCAUGAUAAAAGUGUGGGCAUCUUCUUUGUUGCUUUUCCUCUCCCGCUUUGUUGGUUGUAAAUGUCAGUAUACUCCAAUUGUAAAAGGACUGCAUACUGACCCACGCCCCCAAAGGCAGCAGUAAUCAAUAUGUUUUUUUGCUGACCGCUUCCGUCCAGCUUGAUCCUAGCAGAUUUCGUGAGACACUGGUGAGCUGUGAGGGUAGCAACAUGUAAGCCGACAUCUUAAGUGUGUUAAGGAGUGAUGAUUUUUUCUUUUUAAUAGCACAGUGGGCCAUCCAUAAGUGUAAAUCUGUCAUCUAUGAGUGUGCCAAGGAUGGCAGACCACGCAUUGCCUCGUCAGUGUCCCACUAUGGUAUUUCCAUACCCCAACCACCCCUCGCAUCGAGGGCGCUCCUUUCCGGUCCCGCUCGAGUCCCAUCAAUAUUAUUUGUCGCCACUAGAUUCACUUUUACCACCUCAUACGACCCCACAAAUUUGGUUUUACAUGCCACUCGUCCCACUCGCAUCGUGUUUCGCGCAACUACCCACUCACAUCGCCGUCGGCGCUACCGCCGCAUACUAUCAACUUCAUCUUGCUUCUGCUCUGUGAAGGAAUUUUCUGGGUUGGUUCUGGAAUUUCUAGAAUUUGGGAUUUGGAGGAUUGGGAGGCGGCCUCCUCAGUGGUGCUGGUCUAUGUGGAAUAACAGAACGGAAAAAUAGGCCAUUUACCCAACACACCCUUGCGUUCUGUGCGUUUCUUCAACAGCACCUGAUUUCUUCUUUCCACGCUUUGGCUUCUCAAAGGGUUGAUGAACUUGGAGACGGUGGAUGAAAACCCUAGGCUGGGAGGAGCCACAUGGGUUUUGGAUAUUUACGAUGAUUGGGAGCAGGGUAGAAGGCAAGAGAGCUCCAAUGGUGCCACAGUAGUAAACAGAGGUGACGGCCCUGUAGAAAGUGCUCUAUCUCUCUGUACUUAGAGCGCUUUCUGACGGCGGAGGCAACGGGGUGGGUCACGGGCGGAAGGAACAAAAUUCAAGAUUUAGCAGAUCUUGAAGAAGAGGAGGAAAGCUUCUGCCUGGUUUCAGAACAGUCUUCAGCAUCGCUCUCAUCCCUGCCACAAGCAGUGGUGGCGACAUCAUGGUCCACCGAUCCACAAGGUUUGUCAAUGGCGGAAGAAGACUCACGGUUCAGUGACGCCAUAGCCAAAGGUAUAGUCUUUCCGAAUAGCUUUAUCAUGUGGCCUCCUCCUCCUUCACCCUCAGACGACAUUCUUGUAAUUCGAUCAAAACCCAGAAUGUCAUGGAACAGGUGUUUGCGGCUGAGAGCUGGAGCGCGGAUCUUGGAGAGGAGAUGGUGUGGAGAAGAUGACGAGGAACACAGGUGUGGGGUUCGUGGUGGCGAAUCCGAGAGAGGACGGAGAUGAUGGUCCUUGUUAGUGGGCUCCGGGAGGUGGGUGCGGGCCUGGGUAUAUGUCUGGGCUUGCAGCUGCUGAAGCCUGAAUCUUUUGGUUUGGAUCUACUGAGGCGUGAUGGGUGUUGAAGCUGGAGAGGUGUCAGAUCCGGAUCAUCGGGCGAGUUGGGCUGGGUUAACGAGUCAGCAGGCUCGGAGGUGGAGGGAACGUCUAAGAGAGACGAAGGGAGAAGCUGAGACCGUGCAGCAGAGAGAUGAAGAGACGAGAGAAGCUGACGUUAAAGAGUGAUCUGAUGGAGAGUUGUGAUUUUUGUUAGGAAAACGGGAGAGUGUCGGUGCACUCACAGAGAGACGCAGAGAUCUGAUGAAAAUGAGAUGAUGGUUUGAUGGGUUUUUUUCUGGGUUCUUUUUGCAGAUACACGAGGAAGAUUGUGAAGGUUUCACGGUGGUGUGAUGAAAGAUUGAAAGAGAAUCGACGUAACUUUCGUGUCGAUUCCCACAGACGGCGCCAAAUGUUGAUGCACAAAACCACAAGUCUUGGUACAACGUAAAUCCGACCGUGAAUCUGCAAGUAAUGUAAAUAACACAAGAUGUAUCGUGGUUCACCCUAAGGUUUGGGCUACGUCCACAUUGAAUAUGUAUUUCUCUGAGAGUAUUUGUGAGAGAAGGAGCUCUGUAAAUGAAGAGCUUUGAGAGGGGGUGAGAGGCCUAGGGUUUGUGAGGGUGAGGAGGCCCUUUUAUAGAAUAAGGACUCCUCCCCUAAUUACAUAUUUGCCCCUUCCUUUAUUACAUAAUUACAUUUAAGUCCCUCGAGUAUUUAUACGAGGUCUAAAUACGAGGCCCUAAAUAUGGUAUAAACAUACUGAAAACCAAAAGGCCACACACUGGUAUGUCGAAGAGUCGUAGCCCCCGAGUUGCCCUUGACUGCGCUCGUCCUCGGGAUAAGUUUCCCCUAUAUGCGAAACAACUAUAAAAACGUUAAUUUAAAGCACAUAACCAAUAUUAGCUAAUAAUUUCUCAUACAUUGCUCAAAUGGGAUGUUUGAAUAUACCAACGUGAUCUACACAACCUCACGAACAUCCCCAUAUUUUUAGAAAAAAUUUCCGACAUCCCACGCGCCGUUAAGGGCACGGCAACACGCGCGGCCACGGGCAGGGAUCCUAAUGGAAUCCCUUAACCCCGUUAGGAAUAUUCCGUGAAAUAUUCUGUUAAAAAGUAACAAAAACCGUUAAUUCUACUUGACGGCGUCAGAAUAUUCCGUCAACUCUGAUGGAAUAUUCUAUCUUCUUUUCCGGUUAGCCUUGCCGGUCGCCGUCGCCUUUCACCGGAAACUAGAAAAUCACGAAAACCUUCAUAUCUCGUCCAAUUCUCAACCAAAUUCCACAAAACUUGAACCAAAUUGAAGCUUAGGACAAGUAGAACAAAACCUUACAUUUCAAAAGUCCUAAAACCGACGAAACUUGCCGAAAAAUCCUUCGAUAUUCCGGCUAAACCUGCAACUCCCUAUUCCCGAGCUUCCCAACGUCCAAAUCACUUCAUUUUCUUCUCCGAGCCUCAUGAAGAUGAUCCAAAGCUCCCUAUAACUUCAAAACUCUCAGAAAACUACACAUUUACGUGUGCAUGAACAAUACCUUAAAUCGGAGGUUAUGGUUUCUCGGGUUUUACAAGCUUUCAAGUCCUAAAAAUUG